RNAcentral lists this long non-coding RNA (483 nucleotides) under Bos taurus (domestic cattle). RNAcentral describes it as "long non-coding RNA NONBTAT022548". The record is from RNAcentral. Lineage: Eukaryota; Metazoa; Chordata; Mammalia; Artiodactyla; Bovidae.
UUCAAAGUACCAUAUUGAAAAUUAGACAAAUGAAAAUUAGAUCUUUAACCAAAUUUAGCAUGUUAUCUAAAUGUAAUAUCUUAAUAGUCUGCAUUAUAUAUUAUGAAUCUGCAUUAAAAAUAGCAUUUUAAAUGGUGAAUCCAUAAUUUUGGAUUCCCAAAACCAUAUUUGUGAUGUAUCCUGACUAAGACAGGUUGUUGGAGGAGUAUUAGAAGCAGAAUGAAACCGCUUAUUUUGGUUUCAUAAUAUGUACAUAUUGACUCCCAUUAUUUUUCAUUAUCCUAAUUUAAAACUGUACGAAGCUUUUCUCUGUCUUUCUAAUGGGAGCAUUGAUAAAAUGUUUAAAUGCCAUGCAUAUUAAGAUUAGCCUAACCUAGGAUCUUGUUAAAUUAAAGACACAUUUGUUCACUUUUAUACUCUAGAUAGAAUAAUUUAUAUUUCUGAUCAUGAAUCAAGUAUCUGAGGAUUCGUGUCCCUUUCUGU